CAACAAUGGGUCAGCGACGGACAACACAGUGCAGACUGAGGGGUCAGGGCACGCUUCAUGGAAGAGUGCCAGGCGAGGUGUCCGGCGAGGUGUCACAGCCCUGGCAGUAGAGAGUGGUUCGCUCAUGGGUAGCAAGAAGAAUUUACCAACAACAGCAUAGGCUUGAAAUGGAAUAUCGUAUUAGAUGGAAAGAAACGCUGCAGCCGAGUGCAGAGGGGCAUCUCAGCAAGAGAGGACUAAGUGCACUGCGGUGGAUUGUCCUUCGUGUCUCUCUUCUUAGAGGCAGACUCACUUGGCCUGAGCUUGUCCUUGUGAAAUGGCCUGAGGUUCCCUGGACACUUGUGCAGCGGCAUGGUCCUUCUUCAUGCCCUUCCUUCCAUAAGUCACUCUCGAGCCAGACAGCGAGCCAGACAGUGGGUUUAAACCUGAGCUGCACCUCAUGCUGGCUGGGUUUCCUUUGUGCUGAACACAUCUGCCUUCCCAGUAGACACUGACCGAGCCUCUGAAGAACAAGUUUUUCCCUUCUUGUGUCCCAGGCUUGCUGAAGGGCGUGGCAUUUAAAUGUCUGUAUUUACUUGAAUCGCACAUUAUUGAAUCGGAUAAAACUGAAAGAUUUUCAGGAGAAGACAAUGUCUAACUAUUGACAGACAAACUUGUACGUCUACUUGCAACUACCCACACCUGGGAGCUCGUUAAGAGCACCAAACCUUGGGUUCCAUCCCAAAACUACUGGAUCAAAAUCUGCAUAUUUAACAAGAUCUCCAGGUAAUUCAAGUGAAUAUUAAAGCUUGAGAAGCACUUAUUAUGCUCAGUGUUCUGCAUCUCCAGACCGGGGAAGAAAUACGUUCUAGUUCCCCUGGUAGAGCCACUGCCUGUCUCAAUGUUACAAGGGUAGGAGACAGAAAGAAGGGAUGGGCAGUGUGGGGAAAAGAUUAAGAGCAACUUGGAGACCUGGUUUUGGGUCUCAGAUAGGUGUGGAAUUGAGCUCAAUUUCUGUUACUUAUUAGUUUUGAAUAUUGGGCCUGUGAGCUUAACAUUCCUGUUCUGUAUAGUGGGGAUAGUCAUAGCAUCUAACUCAAUGUGGUGCCAUGAGGGUUCAAUAAUACGACACAUACAUCAGAAUCUUGAAGAAUCCUGUGUGAAUAAUAUACCUUCCAGGGCCUGACUCUAGAACUUCCAAUCAGAAUCUUUGAGAUGGUCCAGAAACGCACGUUUUUAAUGAGUUCUCCUCCAUGUAAAGUUCACAUCAGUGCUGAAGAGAUUCUGCAGCCAUAAAGGUGGAUGUUUCCAUGAGUGUUUGGGACACCAACUCAUCCUCAUUAGACAUUAGAUCCAUGCUGGGAAUCCUCAGGUCAGCAAUUUGAACCAGCCCCAGAUCCACCGAAGCUGCAGUCGGAAGAACAAGACACAGAGAAGGAGUGGCAAGAACAAGAAAGCUUCCGAGAGUGCAAGCGUUUUUUUUUUCUUUAUCGGAUUCGACGCUCUGGAGAAAAUUAAACAGUGGAUGUUGGCAGCUUCUCCAAAUAAGGCAUGAAUCAAGAAUGUACUCUCAACGUGAAAUAGCAAGCCAAAGAUUGAUUAUAUCUACUUAAGUCUAUGAUAAAAAUGGACACCAGCUUGCCAAAUUAUUUCAGCUGCCAAGAACACCAACCACCAAAGUAUCAGGACAGAUGGAUUUCACCAAAGCCUUGAUAUAAUCUGAGGAAAAGAAACUCAGGGAAAAUGUGCUGAUCCAUCAUUUAAGGGGCAAAGGUAUCCUCCUGUACUGGUGUUUGUUGGUAAAUGUUGAAACCAAUUAUGUGUUAAUAAUCAUGUUUUAGUUUCUCUUUUAAGUUUCAUUUUCUAUGUACCACAUUGAAUAAUACUCAGAUGAAGUUAGAUUAUAAUUUCUUUUCAGCUCAAGAAAAGUAAGCAAAUGUAUAGUCAGGGCUAUUUUAACUGGAAAAAAAAAACCUACUACUGACAGUGUCUUACAAGAAAGAUGUUUAAUUUUUUAUGUUAUAAAAAAUGUGGAGGCACAUGUUUUAUGUAUGUCAGCAGUCAAAUGGUGACAGGACCUUGGAUAAACAUCUGGGUUCUCUAGGAUCCCACCUAAUGUUUGCAAGAAGAUUGUAAGUAUAUUCUCCUAUAGCAGCAUCUAAAGAAGAGAAGAUGGAGCUAAUUCUCAUAUCAGUAUUUUCUUAAAUGAAUAAUCUUAACCCAAAACACUGCUAGAUAAAUUCAUUUUGCUCCUCAUUGGCUGGAUUGGGUCAUAUGGUCACCUAUAGCUACAGAGAGGAUGAGAGAGUGAGUACCUGAAACAGUGAUUGGAAUAAACCUAACCAUGAUCUACUGCUAGAGAGGUGGCACUUAGACAGAGUGAUGAUGCCUAAACUUCUAGAAGUAGAGUUAUCUGGCUCCUCUAAGACCUAGACUAACUGUAGGUCAUUGAUAAGCCAAACAUCUGAUUAAGAAUCACAUUGGAAGACUUCUCAUCAUUUUUGUCUUUGUAAAUAAAGGACCCCUAUCUAACUUUA
Molecule: long non-coding RNA, 2516 nt
Filed under: Homo sapiens (human)
Lineage: Eukaryota; Metazoa; Chordata; Mammalia; Primates; Hominidae
Description: HSALNT0371497
Source: RNAcentral